GAGCUUUGACAAGCUGUAACUUUUGAUCCAACCGUCCACUUAGUGUGAAAUUUUGCAUCCAAAUACUAGUAUAAGCCUUCUAUAUGCUCAGAAAAUUUCAGCCCAACCCAACUUACAGAUUGCAAGAAAACGCCCAAAAACCGCACUGAUGACACUCGGCCGCAAUCUUGAAAUUUGAUGUAGAAACUCCAGAAGUGAUUUCUCCUUUGUCAACCGUUAACUCCAGCUCAAAAUUGAAUAGCCGCUUGAUCUCCAAAUCUUCUAUUAUCAAGCCAAAAGUUAUGUCGAUCCAACUGAUAGAUCUUCAGAUAUCACAGAAACCCUAUCCAACCCUAGACUGCGAACUUUUGACAACCCUUUGUACUAAAACCCAGAUAUCUCUUGAUUGCAUCGUUAGAUUAACAAAAAUUUUUGUAUACACUU
RNAcentral lists this long non-coding RNA (423 nucleotides) under Physcomitrium patens. RNAcentral's name for it is "long non-coding RNA (PPAT_LNC011168)". Lineage: Eukaryota; Viridiplantae; Streptophyta; Bryopsida; Funariales; Funariaceae. The record is from RNAcentral.